GAAGGGGGCUAGCGUUGCUCGGAAUUACUGGGCGUAAAGGGACCGUAGGCGGACUGUUAAGUUAGAGGUGAAAGCCCAGGGCUCAACCUUGGAAUUGCCUUUGAUACUGGCAGUCUUGAGUACGGAAGAGGUAUGUGGAACUCCGAGUGUAGAGGUGAAAUUCGUAGAUAUUCGGAAGAACACCAGUGGCGAAGGCGACAUACUGGUCCGUUACUGACGCUGAGGCUCGAAAGCGUGGGGAGCAAACAGGAUUAGAUACCCUGGUAGUCCACGCCGUAAACGAUGAGUGCUAGUUGUCGGCAUGCAUGCAUGUCGGUGACGCASSUAACGCAUUAAGCACUCCGCCUGGGGAGUACGGCCGCAAGAUUA
This 369-nucleotide ribosomal RNA is filed under the name uncultured bacterium. Its description in RNAcentral is "bacterial SSU rRNA". It matches the Rfam family "Bacterial small subunit ribosomal RNA", at positions 527 to 896 of the family's 1533-position model. The record is from RNAcentral.